AAUUAAUAUAAUUGUUUUAUAUAUUUUUUAUUUAUAAAUAUAAAUUAAAUAAAUUUAAGUUAUUGUAAUAUUAAUUGAUAUAAUAAUUUAUACUAUAGUUAAUUAGUACUGUGUAGGAACAUAUUUAAUGAAUAAUUUAAUAUUUAUUAAAGUUGAUUUUAUUAAUUUUAUCUUGUGUAUCAGAGUAUAUCUAAAUUAAUUAUAUAAUUUUAUUUUUCUCGAAUUUAAAAGAUUUAAUUAAGUAAUUUAGUUAUUGUUUCAUAAAUAUUAAUAAUGCUUAAUUGGUAAUGAAAUGUUAAUCGUUUUUAAGGAUAUCUAGUUUUUUAAUAAAUGAAUUUAAUUCAGGUUGCAUAAAUUAUUUAAUAUUUAAAUAUUUAAAUAUUUUAUGUUUCUAAUUUUUAAAGGGAUUAACUUUUAAAAAUAAAAUUAUAAUAAUAAUAUUUAUUUGGGAUUACGUGAAUUUAGAAUUUGUUACUGAUUUAAAUAUGUUAUAAUUUAAUUCUUUUUUUAUGAAAUUUUAAAUUUUUAUUUAAUUUUUAUAUUAAAAAUUAAACUUUAAUUUUUAUUUUUUAGUUUAAAUGAUAUAAUUAGUAAAUUUGAAUUUUAUUUUAUUAAUUUUUAUUUAAUGCUAAUAUAAAGAAUUAGGCAAAUAUUUCACUCACCUGUUUAUUAAAAACAUGGUUUCUUGUAUUUAUUUAAGAGAUCUGGCCUGCCCACUGAAUUUUUAAAGGGCCGCAGUAUUUUGACUGUGCAAAGGUAGCAUAAUAAUUAGUCUUUUAAUUGAAGGCUGGUAUGAAUGGUUGGAUGAGGUGAAUACUGUUUUAUAUUAAUUAUAAUUGAAUUUAGGAUUUAAGUAAAAAUACUUAAAUUAUAUUAAGGGACGAGAAGACCCUAUAGAGUUUAAUAAAUUAAUUAAUUAAUUGAGUUAAUAAAAAAAUUUUUGGUUAUUAUGAUAUUUAUUUAGUUGGGGUGAUUAAAAGAUAAGUAAAACUCUUUUUUAUUUUUAAUUUUAUUUUUAGUUUUUAGAUCCAUAAUUAAUGAUUAUAAGAUUAAAUUACCUUAGGGAUAACAGCAUAAUUUCUUUUGAGAGUUCAUAUCGAAAAAGAAGAUUGUGACCUCGAUGUUGGAUUAAGAUUAGUUUAGGGUGUAGAUGUUUAUAAACUAGGUCUGUUCGACCUUUAAAAUCUUACAUGAUCUGAGUUUAAACCGGCGUGAGCCAGGUUGGUUUCUAUCUUUAAUUUUAUUAAAUAUUUUAGUACGAGAGGACCAAAUAUUUAAAAUAAUUUUUAUUUAAUGAAUAUUAUUAAUUC
This 1310-nucleotide ribosomal RNA is filed under the name Anaxarcha zhengi. RNAcentral describes it as "16S ribosomal RNA". The stretch from base 1065 to 1223 matches the Rfam family "Archaeal large subunit ribosomal RNA", at positions 2542 to 2701 of the family's 2987-position model. Lineage: Eukaryota; Metazoa; Arthropoda; Insecta; Mantodea; Hymenopodidae. The record is from RNAcentral.